RNAcentral lists this long non-coding RNA (1183 nucleotides) under Ailuropoda melanoleuca (giant panda). RNAcentral describes it as "lncRNA (ENSAMEG00000023882.1)". The record is from RNAcentral. Lineage: Eukaryota; Metazoa; Chordata; Mammalia; Carnivora; Ursidae.
GUGUCCCCCCCCCACCCCCACCCCAGGGUGCGUCUACUGACCAAAACCCUUUGGAAGCCCCCUGGAGUGGGGUUGGACUGCCUCCCUUCCAUGGCGCCUACGGUGGGAGAGAAGGAUCUAAACUGCCUUUUGUAGGCACGUGUUCGAGAUAGAAGCACGUUGGAGUUCUCUCGGAGCAGAAACACCACUUUCCAAUAUUUAUUUUCAAAUGUCCUCGUCUAAGAAUUUUUACAAAAGUAAUACUUAUUCAAUGCUGAGAAUUGAGAGAAUACAGAAGAUUGUAAAGGAGGAAACAAGAAGCCUCAACUACCACCAGGUUCUGCAACAGUGGUGGUGAUAAAAAGAUGUACUGAGGACCCCAAGAAGAGAACUCUGAUAGGCGUCAUGGAGGUGGUUAUCAGAUGAACCACAAAAGGUGAGAGUCAAGUCCAAGAGGCAAGGAGGACAGAGGAAUCAUGCAAGACACAGACAUGUAAGACAACACAGUAUAUUUGGAAAAUGAAACCUGUUUGCUGAGGUCUGGCAUCAGGUGCAUACGUGCAAAGAAGCAAGAAAUAUGAUGAAGAGAAGCCUGGCCAGAUUUAAAAUCCUUUUGCCUUAUUUCGGAGUUUGGCCUUUCUUUUGAAAGUAAGAGAGGGAUGAUAUGAUCAAUUUUGCAUUUCACAAGAUUUGUGAUGAAAGCAAUGUAGUAAAGAAAUUAGGCGUUGGGCUGGAGGUGGGGAGGGUGAGGGACAGGAACACCUGAAAUAGGAUAGAGGCGGUGAGAACGAAAAUGGGGUGGGUUGGAAGGUUCCACUGGAAGUAGAACUGAUUAGACUUGGUGACGAGUAGAUGUGGAGAGGAGGGAGGACUGAGUUAAGGGCUGUGGUGUGGGUUUCUCACUCACAGGUAAGGAGAGGCACCCUGCACAGAAAUACAGAGCCCAGGAUGAAGAGAAGAAUUUAAAAGGGGAGAGAACUUCCAGUUCUCAGUCCAGCAGUCCCUGUGGAUCACCUGAGAUGACUCAUCUUGGGUAAGUCAAGGAAGGAUCCUGGGGGCACUACGUCUAGGAAGGGAGAUGGUCCGAAACAAGGGUAGUUCCACUACAUCCCUGUAAGGUAGUCAGGGAAGGUGAUUCAUUCAACCGGCAUUUAAAGAAUAUACACUGUAUUUGGUGAUGAAAGUAAGGAGAGGGGCGCCUGGG